UAGGGAAUCUUCGGCAAUGGGGGCAACCCUGACCGAGCAACGCCGCGUGAGUGAAGAAGGUUUUCGGAUCGUAAAGCUCUGUUGUAAGAGAAGAACGAGUGUGAGAGUGGAAAGUUCACACUGUGACGGUAACUUACCAGAAAGGGACGGCUAACUACGUGCCAGCAGCCGCGGUAAUACGUAGGUCCCGAGCGUUGUCCGGAUUUAUUGGGCGUAAAGCGAGCGCAGGCGGUUAGAUAAGUCUGAAGUUAAAGGCUGUGGCUUAACCAUAGUACGCUUUGGAAACUGUUUAACUUGAGUGCAGAAGGGGAGAGUGGAAUUCCAUGUGUAGCGGUGAAAUGCGUAGAUAUAUGGAGGAACACCGGUGGCGAAAGCGGCUCUCUGGCUUGUAACUGACGCUGAGGCUCGAAAGCGUGGGGAGCAAACAGGAUUAGAUACCCUGGUAGUCCACGCCGUAAACGAUGAGUGCUAGGUGUUAGACCCUUUCCGGGGUUUAGUGCCGCAGCUAACGCAUUAAGCACUCCGCCUGGGGAGUACGACCGCAAGGUUG
This 550-nucleotide ribosomal RNA is filed under the name uncultured bacterium. RNAcentral's name for it is "bacterial SSU rRNA". It matches the Rfam family "Bacterial small subunit ribosomal RNA", at positions 355 to 896 of the family's 1533-position model. The record is from RNAcentral.